This 3000-nucleotide ribosomal RNA is filed under the name Clavibacter michiganensis subsp. michiganensis. RNAcentral's name for it is "bacterial LSU rRNA". It matches the Rfam family "Bacterial large subunit ribosomal RNA". The record is from RNAcentral. Lineage: Bacteria; Bacillati; Actinomycetota; Actinomycetes; Micrococcales; Microbacteriaceae.
AGAGCAAACGGUGGAUGCCUUGGCAUCUGGAGCCGAAGAAGGACGUAUAAAUCUGCGAUAAGCCUCGGGGAGCUGAUAAUAGAGCUUUGAUCCGAGGAUCUCCGAAUGGGGAAACCCCGCCAGGCCCUUUGGGUGACCUGGUGACUCCCGCCUGAAUAUAUAGGGCGGGUAGAGGGAACGUGGGGAAGUGAAACAUCUCAGUACCCACAGGAAGAGAAAGCAAAAGCGAUUCCGUUAGUAGUGGCGAGCGAAACCGGAAGAGGCCAAACCGAUCAUGUGUGAUAUCCGGUAGGAGUUGCAUGGUCGGGGUUGCGGGACUUUCCGUACAGUUCUACCGAGCUGUGAGGGCAAUGAGCGCGAUAUAGACGAAUGGUCUUGAAAGGCCAGUCAUAGAGGGUGCGAACCCCGUAGUCGAAAUGUCGUCGCCUGUCCGGAGAGUAUCCCAAGUAGCACGGGGCCCGAGAAAUCCCGUGUGAAUCUGUCAGGACCACCUGAUAAGCCUAAAUACUCCCAGAUGACCGAUAGCGGACAAGUACCGUGAGGGAAAGGUGAAAAGUACCCCGGGAGGGGAGUGAAAUAGUACCUGAAACCGUUUGCUUACAAACCGUUGGAGCACCCUUGUUGGUGUGACAGCGUGCCUUUUGAAGAAUGAGCCUGCGAGUUAGUGAUAUGUGGCGAGGUUAACCCGUGAGGGGCAGCCGUAGCGAAAGCGAGUCUUAAUAGGGCGUAUGAGUCGCAUGUUCUAGACCCGAAGCGAAGUGAUCUAUCCAUGGCCAGGUUGAAGCGACGGUAAGACGUCGUGGAGGACCGAACCCACUUCAGUUGAAAAUGGAGGGGAUGAGCUGUGGAUAGGGGUGAAAGGCCAAUCAAACUUCGUGAUAGCUGGUUCUCUCCGAAAUGCAUUUAGGUGCAGCGUUGCGUGUUUCUUGCCGGAGGUAGAGCUACUGGAUGGACGAUGGGCCCCAAAAGGUUACUGACUUCAGCCAAACUCCGAAUGCCGGUAAGUGAGAGCGCAGCAGUGAGACGGUGGGGGAUAAGCUUCAUCGUCGAGAGGGAAACAACCCAGACCACCAUCUAAGGUCCCUAAGCGCGUGCUAAGUGGGAAAGGAUGUGGAGUUGCAUAGACAACCAGGAGGUUGGCUUAGAAGCAGCCACCCUUGAAAGAGUGCGUAAUAGCUCACUGGUCAAGUGAUUCCGCGCCGACAAUGUAACGGGGCUCAAGCACGCCACCGAAGUUGUGGCAUUUAUAUUAUAGGCAGGCCUUCGUGGUCCAGCCGUAUGGAUGGGUAGGAGAGCGUCGUGUGGCCAGCGAAGCGGCGGUGUGAACCAGCCGUGGAGGCCACACGAGUGAGAAUGCAGGCAUGAGUAGCGAAAGACGGGUGAGAAACCCGUCCUCCGAAAGACCAAGGGUUCCAGGGCCAGGCUAAUCCGCCCUGGGUAAGUCGGGACCUAAGGCGAGGCCGACAGGCGUAGUCGAUGGACAACGGGUUGAUAUUCCCGUACCGAUGAAGAACCGCCCAAGACAAUCCAGUAAUGCUAAGUGUCUGAAUCCUUGAUUCGAUCCCUUCGGGGUGACGGUCUUGGCCUAGCACACGACCCUACGCUGGGGCGUUUAGCGUAUUAACAGGUGUGACGCAGGAAGGUAGCUGAGCCGGGCGAUGGUUGUCCCGGUCUAAGGAUGUAGGGCAGAAGAUAGGCAAAUCCGUCUUCUAUGUAGCCUGAGACCCGAUGGGUAGUCCUCACGGACGAAAUCAGUGAUCCUAUGCUGCCGAGAAAAGCAUCGACGCGAGGUUCCAAUCGCCCGUACCCCAAACCGACUCAGGUGGUCAGGUAGAGAAUACUAAGGAGAUCGAGAGAAUCGUGGUUAAGGAACUCGGCAAAAUGCCCCCGUAACUUCGGGAGAAGGGGGGCCUGAGGCGUGUAGGGAUUUACUCCUGAAGCGUUUGAAGGCCGCAGAGACCAGUGGGAAGCGACUGUUUACUAAAAACACAGGUCCGUGCUAAGUCGCAAGACGAUGUAUACGGACUGACGCCUGCCCGGUGCUGGAAGGUUAAGAGGAACGGUUAGCACGCAAGUGCGAAGCUGAGAAUUUAAGCCCCAGUAAACGGCGGUGGUAACUAUAACCAUCCUAAGGUAGCGAAAUUCCUUGUCGGGUAAGUUCCGACCUGCACGAAUGGCGUAACGACUUCCCAGCUGUCUCAACCGCGAACUCGGCGAAAUUGCACUACGAGUAAAGAUGCUCGUUACGCGCAGCAGGACGGAAAGACCCCGUGACCUUUACUACAGCUUGGUAUUGGUGUUCGGUGUGGCUUGUGUAGGAUAGGUGGGAGACUGUGAAGCUCGGACGCUAGUUCGGGUGGAGUCAUUGUUGAAAUACCACUCUGGUCACUCUGGAUAUCUAACUUCGAACCGUAAUCCGGUUCAGGGACAGUGCCUGGUGGGUAGUUUAACUGGGGCGGUUGCCUCCUAAAGAGUAACGGAGGCGCCCAAAGGUUCCCUCAACCUGGUUGGUAAUCAGGUGUCGAGUGUAAGUGCACAAGGGAGCUUGACUGUGAGACUGACAAGUCGAGCAGGGACGAAAGUCGGGACUAGUGAUCCGGCAGUGGCUUGUGGAAGCGCUGUCGCUCAACGGAUAAAAGGUACCUCGGGGAUAACAGGCUGAUCUUGCCCAAGAGUCCAUAUCGACGGCAUGGUUUGGCACCUCGAUGUCGGCUCGUCGCAUCCUGGGGCUGGAGUAGGUCCCAAGGGUUGGGCUGUUCGCCCAUUAAAGCGGUACGCGAGCUGGGUUUAGAACGUCGUGAGACAGUUCGGUCCCUAUCCGCUGCGCGCGUAGGAAAUUUGAGAAGAUCUAUCCCUAGUACGAGAGGACCGGGAUGGACGAACCUCUGGUGUGUCAGUUGUUCCGCCAGGAGCACCGCUGAUUAGCUACGUUCGGAACGGAUAACCGCUGAAAGCAUCUAAGCGGGAAGCCGGCUUCGAGAUGAGAUUUCCAUCCCUUUU